RNAcentral lists this ribosomal RNA (300 nucleotides) under uncultured Kibdelosporangium sp. Its description in RNAcentral is "bacterial SSU rRNA". It matches the Rfam family "Bacterial small subunit ribosomal RNA", at positions 496 to 795 of the family's 1533-position model. The record is from RNAcentral. Lineage: Bacteria; Bacillati; Actinomycetota; Actinomycetes; Pseudonocardiales; Pseudonocardiaceae.
CGUAAUGCCGUGCCACAAGCGGUGGGAAGACGGAGGAGGAAAGAGGUAUGCGGAAGUAUUGGGCGUAAAGCGUCCGUAGGUGGCGAGUGAAGUCGUCGGGCAAAGUGUGGGGCUUAACCCUGGAAAGGCCGUGGAAACUGACGAGCUAGAGUGCAGUAGGGGUAGAGGGAAUUCCCGGUGUAGCGGUGAAAUGCGUAGAGCGCGGGAAGAACAUCGGUGGCGAAAGCGCUCUACUGGACUGCAACUGACACUCAGGGACGAAAGCUAGGGGAGCGAAUGGGAUUAGAUACCCGAGUAGUC